Molecule: ribosomal RNA, 599 nt
Filed under: uncultured bacterium
Lineage: Bacteria
Description: bacterial SSU rRNA
Rfam family: Bacterial small subunit ribosomal RNA
Source: RNAcentral
GGGAAUAGCCCUCCUAACGGAGGGGUAAUACCCGGCGAUCCGCCGAGGGGGCAUCCCCUUGGCGGGAAACGAGUUUCGCCUCGGGAGGGGGCCACGUGCUAUUAGCUGGUUGGCGGGGUAACGGCCCACCAAGGCACAGAUGGCUAGCGGGUGUGCGAGCACGACCCGCGCCACGGGCACUGAGACACUGGCCCGACUCCUACGGGAGGCUGCAGUCGAGGAUCUUCGGCAAUGGGCGCAAGCCUGACCGAGCGACGCCGCGUGUGCGAUGAAGGCCUUCGGGUUGUAAAGCACUGUCAGGGGGGAACAAUCAAUGAGUGAUCCCCAGAGGAAGCACGGGCUAAGUUCGUGCCAGCAGCCGCGGUAAGACGAACCGUGCGAACGUUGUUCGGAAUCACUGGGCUUAAAGGGCGCGUAGGCGGUCUACCAAGUCGGGGUUGAAAUCUUUCGGCUCAACCGGAAAAGUGGCUUCGAUACUGGUAGGCUGGAGGGAGGUAGGGGCGGAUGGAACUUCCGGUGGAGCGGUGAAAUGUGUUGAUAUCGGAAGGAACGCCGGUGGCGAAAGCGAUCCGCUGGACCUCUUCUGACGCUGAGGCGCG